AUGGGAUGGAGCUGGAUCAUCCUCUUCCUGAUGACAGAAGCUACAGGUGUCCACUCCCAGGUCCAGCUGCAGCAGUCUGGUGCUGAGCUGGUGAAGCCUGGAUCCUCAGUGAAGCUGUCCUGCAAGACUUCAGGCUACACAUUCACUGACUAUGCUAUGCACUGGGUGAAGCAGAAGCCUGGACAAAGCCUGGAGUGGAUUGGGUGGAUUGUUCCCAUAAUUGGUAUUACCAACUAUGGACAGAACUUCCAGGGCAAGGCCACACUGACUGCAGACAAAUCCUCCAGCACAGCCUACAUGGAGCUCAGCAGCCUGACAUCUGAGGACUCUGGAGUCUAUUACUGUGCAAGACACAGUGUUGCAACCACAUCCUGA
This is a non-coding RNA of Cricetulus griseus (Chinese hamster), 375 nucleotides long. The record is from the annotation of a RefSeq genome assembly. Lineage: Eukaryota; Metazoa; Chordata; Mammalia; Rodentia; Cricetidae.